AAAAAUACAACCCCUAUCCGUCUUUGGGAGCCCAUAUGUCAGACAAAUUGUUAUAGUCUUAUACGUUUAGUUCAUGCGCAUACUAGACCGCCAAUCGAUUUGAGUAUGAAUCUAAUACAAACUGUUGACCUAAUCAAGCCCAAUUAAACACCUCAAAAAUAAGUUGAAGAUUCGCCCGCUCUAACAUCCUUUGCUUACACAUACUUAGUUGAUAGAAUCUAUAUAUAGAGCAAAUGAAGUACUCGG
RNAcentral lists this long non-coding RNA (246 nucleotides) under Phoenix dactylifera (date palm). Its description in RNAcentral is "long non-coding RNA (PDAC_LNC017012)". The record is from RNAcentral. Lineage: Eukaryota; Viridiplantae; Streptophyta; Magnoliopsida; Arecales; Arecaceae.